UGAACUGACCUUUUCCAGAUACAACAUUUAUUCUGGACCACAAAAUUUAUUCAAGUGUGCAGCUUGAACCAUCACUACCAUUUUAGCAUAUGGACCAUGAAAGAAUCCUAUGCAGUACAAUUUGUGUACAAUGUAAAAGGAGUAAAAAUAUUAAACGCCAGCAGAAAUGUUGUAUCUGGAAAAGGUCAGUUCAUGUGGAAUCCUUGUCGAUAUCAACAGUAUCAAUAGGCUGGACAAAUAUCCUCCAAACUUCUUCCUAAGUACUCGAUGAUGUCACCAGUGAGAGUUGAUCUUUUCCUAUUCUCAAAAGCAAGUGAUGCAGCCUUCCUCAAUAAAGCAGACCCAGCAAUGCACCCUAACACUGUUGGAUUUGUUGGUCUGAUGGUCACAUUGCCUUCAGCAGCCAAGAUAUAUUGGCGAGCCCAAGAUAAAAAUACCGCAACACUUCCUGAAAGGAUAUCACCUUGACCCCCACAACGCCUAGGUGAACCAUAGAUGCUCACUGAUUUGACUAUCUCACCAUCAGUAAUAAGGUCAGAUUUUCCUUUCCGUAAGAUGGUUACACCCCCGAUCCUUCUGGAAAGAGAAAGUAAUUGCCCCUGAGUAUCUUGAUCAUUUACUUCACAAUUUAGAACUUUUUGAACCAAGCGCUUGUAUUCAUUCACAUUUGGGGUUAGAACAGCUAAGGGAUAACCACUAACUAGAUCAAUACUGUUUGUUACAAGAAAGAGUCCAUCCCCAUCUAAAACAAUUGGAACAUUUGACUGCCUUGCCUGCUUUAUAAUUUCACUCACACAGUCCAGAAGAAAUGGGUCCCUCCCAAGGCCAGGACCAACAACAAGACAAUCAAAUCUCUCCAUCCAUUUAUCAACCUCCGCAACAACCUUUCCUGAUAUGUAUUUUUUGUCCCCAUCCCCAAUACUAUAAGACUCUUCCAAAAUAGGGUGCACAAUCAACUCGGGACUAUAGCUUUUGAUAACCGGAGCAGCGUCUUUGGUACAGAAUACAUGGGACAAAUCAGCACCAAUUUUCAAAGCAGAAAUAGCAGCAAAAUAAGGGGCACCAGUGUACUCCCGACACCCACCAAUAACAGCAAUUUUCCCUGCCUGGCCCUUAUGUCUUGUUGGGUCAAGAGUUGGAGUAAUUGCUCUCAGGAUGUUCUCCGCCUCAGCCUCCAAAGGUUUAGUUUCUUGCAUUCUGUUCUGAGUGCAGAAAUUACUGUGAACUCCACCUCCAAGAGACCUUAUCAAGAAGUGCUGCCUUCUCAAAACCGCUGAGGAAGAUAAGGUACAAUUUCUUGCGCUGCUUAGUGAUGUUAGCUGACUCAUGCCAUGUUUUACGAACAUCACCAAACCCACCACCGUCCCUGUGAAAAAUGAGGCCAAGAUGAAAGAAAUGCCCACUGGAUUUUGAUCAACUGAAAUAUGAAUGAUGGUUU
Molecule: unclassified non-coding RNA, 1438 nt
Filed under: Hevea brasiliensis (rubber tree)
Lineage: Eukaryota; Viridiplantae; Streptophyta; Magnoliopsida; Malpighiales; Euphorbiaceae
Source: RNAcentral